Long non-coding RNA from Astatotilapia calliptera (eastern happy), 530 nucleotides. NCBI's taxonomy places the organism in Eukaryota, Metazoa, Chordata, Actinopteri, Cichliformes, Cichlidae. The record is from Ensembl.
ACGAUAAUAGUGCAAGGUGGAGAAGCACCUGCCUUUCUCUCUCCACAUGUAGUAGACUACAUUGUGUCAGGAGACAUUCUUCAAGUACACCUAACACCGGAUGAUAUAGGUGACCCUGAGUUAAGAGAGAAUCUGAAAAAGGUUGUAAAUGCAACAACUCAACAUGAUUUGGAGGAAGCAGUCAGCUGCUGCGACUCAUGGCGAUAUCAAGUUGAAGGUCUUCCACUCACAGUCACCAUGGCCAAUAAAGAUCUGUUUGUGAAAAAUGCAGCUCUAUACCUUGCAGUUCUGCAACGGCAAAGCUGUUUCGAUCAACUAACUGAUGGCUUGUCCUACUAUGGAAUUUUAUCACUCCUGAGAGAGAACCCCAGUUUGCGUGUUCUGCUUGACCUAUCUGGGGAGGACAAAGAUCUGACAGCCAGUUUAAUUGCUGGGGUUCUCAGGCCAAGCUAUUCUGUCCUUGGGAGCAACAGAAGAGUUAGAGAGGAGCUGAUGGUGGUCAAAUUUCGGGAAUUUCUCCAGUGUGUCGA